AACGAACGCUGGCGGCGGGGUUUAGGCAUGCAAGUCGAGCGAGAAAGGGGCAACCCGAGUAAAGCGGCGUAAGGGUGAGUAAUAGGUAGUCUACGUAUCUUCCAGACGCGGAUAAUUUCCCGAAAGGGAUUGUAAUACGCGAUGAGACCACGCGGGAUCCGUCCUGUGGGGCCAAAGGUUCGGGAUCCUUCGGGACCGAGCGCUGGAUGAGCGGACGACCUCCGAUUAGCUAGUUGGCGGGGUAACGGCCCACCAAGGCGAUGAUCGGUAGCCGGCCUGAGAGGGUGUCCGGCCACACUGGGACUGAGACACUGCCCAGACUCCUACGGGAGGCUGCAGUCGCGAAUCAUUCACAAUGGGCGCAAGCCUGAUGAUGCCACGCCGCGUGCGGGAUGAAGCUCUUCGGAGUGUAAACCACUGUUGCCCGGGACGAACAGCUCGAAUUCUCGAGCCUGACGGUACCGGGUGAGGAACGCACCGGCUAACUCCGUGCCAGCCGCCGCGGU
This 506-nucleotide ribosomal RNA is filed under the name uncultured bacterium. RNAcentral describes it as "bacterial SSU rRNA". It matches the Rfam family "Bacterial small subunit ribosomal RNA", at positions 28 to 521 of the family's 1533-position model. The record is from RNAcentral.